Molecule: long non-coding RNA, 562 nt
Filed under: Homo sapiens (human)
Lineage: Eukaryota; Metazoa; Chordata; Mammalia; Primates; Hominidae
Description: non-protein coding lnc-OVOL2-1:3
Source: RNAcentral
CCGCACCGAAACGCGGUCUUUCUCUAGACGCGUCUUGCUGGGAGAGUGUCCGUUGCUUCCCGUCCGUGUCGCGGCCCUGCGGUUGGCGGCCUCCUCGUGGAGCGGAGCAAGGGCGGCCCCUGCUCGAGUCCCGCGUCGCCAUGGCCGCGGUUCCCGAGUUGCUGCAGCAGCAGGAGGAGGACCGCAGCAAGGCCGUGGCUGCUCGCCGCCAUCCCCAGCGCGGGAAGCACCCGUGAGACCCGGGCGGCCCCUCUCCCUGGUCUUCACUGAAGGCUGCCCCGGGGAAUCCCUGUGGAUGUCCCGGAUUCUAUUAGGACAGAACCAGAGACGCGGGACCUUAGCCCCAGCUCAGGCGCCGGUGCCGAGCGGACUUGGAGAGAUGAUCUCUGGAGACCCCGGAAUGUUCUUUUUAAAACUUUCCUCGGCUUCGUGGUGACCAGUAGGUGAACGUGAAAUUGACUUAACAUGCGACAGACCAGUUUGGUUUGUUGCCCCCAAAAUACCCUCCUUCCCCCCACCUUUUACUGAGAAGACUUUUUUGGGGGGGGGGCCCAAACAACUU